RNAcentral lists this ribosomal RNA (156 nucleotides) under uncultured eukaryote. Its description in RNAcentral is "partial 18S ribosomal RNA". It matches the Rfam family "Eukaryotic small subunit ribosomal RNA", at positions 389 to 548 of the family's 1831-position model. The record is from RNAcentral.
UCUUACGGGAGGCAGCAGUGGGGAUCCUACGGGAGGCAGCAGGCGCGCAAAUUACCCAAUCCCGACACGGGGAGGUAGUGACAAUAAAUAACGAUACAGGGCCCUUUCGGGUCUUGUAAUGGAAUGAGUACAAUGUAAAUACCUAACGAGAACAAU